GGGGGAUGAGGGCUGGAAGGCGCCCUGUCCGCACCUCGCUUUGGCGGCGGAUCUCUCCCGCUGCCCGUGCCCUGGGUCCCAGGAAGCGCCCUCGCUGUGUGACGCUAAAUAAGUGUGCACACCUCUCUGAGCCUUAGGGACUUCUAGCAAAAUGGUGGAGCUGGUACCCGGCUGUACGGCAAAUUGGGAGCGGCGUAGGGUAGCUCUUAAGAGCGAGGACUCUGUGGAGUCCUUACUCCGCCGCCAGAUAACUUCCGUAAACUAAGGAUAAUAAUAGUGCCACCUCAUAGGUUUGUUAAGAUUAAGUGAGUUAAUAUUUAUAAAGUGUUUAGAACAGUGUCUGUUUCGUGCUAAGUGCUAUUUAAGUAUUUGUUAGACUAACUACAGGAGGUCUCGCUCCGAGAUUUUCUCCUAACCCCCGUCCACCCCCAACAUUCCUGUUUGCCAGCCAAGCCUUGCUUUAGCACGGGCUGGGCCCUCUGCCUGAAAAUCCAUACCCACCUCUUCUCUGGGCUUUCGCAUCAUUCCUUUGUGAAGUCUUCUCUACUCCUGACAGGACAUGUGAGUCUAUGGCAACAGGCCCCACCUCCUCUCCCAGAUGGCUCAGGCCUUGCCUGCCCAGCUCUCAGGCUGUCCCCAUGGUGCCUCUGCCAGGCAGGUCCUGGUGCCCAGGGGAGGGGUGAGCUGUGCAGCCUCCACCUCACCCCCCAGCCCACAAAGAAGCCAACAGCCUUCGGUGCCACGUGCCAGACACAGGAUGAAGCCGUAGGCAGAUGAGAGCCUCUCGUGGAAUUGCCAGCUGAGUGGGUAAACAAACAACAAUGGGACAACGGUAAUACAAUGUGACUAUUGCCACCAUGGAGUUUUGCUCAGGGUGCCAAAAACCCAGGGAGGAACCAAAGGAAGGCUGAUUCUUGGUGAAGGAACAGGAACUUAAAGAGAGUGUAGCAUACAGUGGGAACAGCAAGCAUCAAGGCAGUGAAAGAUGGUUUGCAAUGGCUAGAGCACAAGGAAGUCUCAAGGGACAGAGGGAGUGGAGCCUGGAGAGGUGAGAGGGGUGGUCCAUGGAGGGCCUUGAAUGCUGGGCUAAGGAACUAGAACUUUCCACCAUAGGCAAUGGGGAGCCAUUGGAGGAUUGUGAGCUGGGGAGGGACAUGGUCAGAUUUGUGUCUUAGAAUGACAACGUGUGGCAGCUAGUUUGGGGGGAAUGGGCUGGAGCAGGAAAGGCCAGGCAGAGCAGCCAGGAGAGGACGAGACAUAGUCCAGGUGGGAGAAGCCAAGGCCUAACUAGGGCAGGACAGGUGGGUGGCUCAGCAGGUGUGAGCACCUCUGGGCAUAAGAACCGAGGUCAGCGUGGGGCAGACAGGCUGCAGAGCUGGCCCCAUCAGGGCGACUGGGCGUUUUCAGGGCUUGAGGUCAAAGACAGGCUGAGGCAGGCAGGAGCUCUAGGAACUCUUGGCCUUUGGGCUGGGGUAGGCUCAAGGUCAGCAGAUGCAGCUGGGUCUGGGUCUAGAGACUUGGGAGGUCCACAGCAGGACUCCAGCCUGCAUGCAGGAAUCAGGGCAAAGUCCAGCCCCGGAAAAGAGUUCCCAGGAGCCAGGCAGGGUGUCAGAGCCCUGGUCCUGAAGGAAGAGGCUACAAGGCAAAGAGCAGAGGACUCCUGCCUCCAGUUCCUUUAUGUCAUGAACCACUUCCCUUCUAUGGCUACCUGUGAAGAUGGGCUGCGGAGGCACCUGGGGCUACUUUCUUGCUCAUGCUUCGUCCGUCUUCAGAUGAGGCUCCCCUCAGACUCAUCUUGAGUCCAAUGACCAUCUGCCCCCAUCCUGGGGAACCGAAGUCUGCAUGGGGUCUGACCUGCCCCUGGCUCCAAGCUCUGGUGAGGAUGGACUCGGGCAUGGCUCCACCCGCAAAGCAUACAGUUGGAAUGCCACAUUGACCGCCAGGAAGUUUCUUGUAAAGAUAUAUACACUUACAUUACAAUCCAGCAGUCCCACUGGUAGGUAUUUACCCAACAUGGAGGAGAGAGUAUGUUCACCCAAAGACUUGUAGGUAAAAGGCCAUAACAGCUCUAUUUGUAAUAGCCGAAGACUGGAAACGAUCUACAUACUCACUGACAGGUGACUAAAGAAACAAAUUAUACAAUGGGGCACUACUCAGCAACGAAAAAGCAUGAGCUAGUAAUGCAUGCAGCAACAUGGACAAAUGUCAAAGCCAGUUGAAUGAAAGAAGCCAGAAAAGAGAGAGAGCAUACAUAAUGCGUGUGAUUCCAUUUUUAUGAAAUUCUCGGAAAUGCAAACUAAUCUGUGUUGACAGAAAGCAGACCCAUGGUUAUCUGGGAUGGAGGGUGGCGGAGGGAUGACAAGGAGGAUGACCAAGGGGAUGAAGACCUUUCGGAGGUGAUAGAUAAUGUGCAUUGUCUUGGUGGUGGCGAGAGUUUCAAGUGCGUAUACAUGUGUCAAAACUUGUCAGAUUGUAUCAUUUAAGCAUGUGCUGUUUCUUGUACAUCGGUUAUACCUCA
Long non-coding RNA from Prionailurus viverrinus (fishing cat), 2518 nucleotides. RefSeq lists it as uncharacterized. The record is from RefSeq and is a predicted model, not a curated record. NCBI's taxonomy places the organism in Eukaryota, Metazoa, Chordata, Mammalia, Carnivora, Felidae. The transcript is spliced from 3 exons.